Molecule: long non-coding RNA, 3374 nt
Filed under: Vigna radiata
Lineage: Eukaryota; Viridiplantae; Streptophyta; Magnoliopsida; Fabales; Fabaceae
Description: long non-coding RNA (VRAD_LNC005876)
Source: RNAcentral
AUAAAAGAAAAGAAAAACUAACUAGGGCAUGCGAGCUUCUCUUCUCUCGUAGCCUAUUGCGCCGCAAUGUCAAAUUCUUCACAAGGAAGAGGUAACAGUUUUCCUUGCACUCCCUUCUUUUUUUGGCAACGCCGUCGUGUUGCUACUAACACAGCUUUGAUUUUUUUUUUUCAGUGUUGCUAAGGUGCUCCCCCGUUUGAUUUAUAUUUGCAUUUCGUGGUUUUUAAUUUAUUUUAAGAGUGGUGCAUUUAUACUUUUUGGGAUUACCAUUUUUUUUUUUUUUGUGGUAGGUCUGUUAGAGUUUGGGAUUUGGAAGAGCAUGGUGAAGGUUCAGAUAAAUAACAAGGAAGAAUUUUCCGUAAUGAGGAAAGGUGAUUACAGUGAUUGACAGUUUGUUAGUCACUUGUGUAUUGUUGCAGUCACAACGGUAAAUAUUUAAAAUUACUUUGAGUUAUUUUCUAUUACCCACAUAGAAGAAAAGUUUUAUAGACUUUGCUCUGCUACAUAUUCCAUAUAAAAUAUUUAGCUAAUAAAUGAUAUUUAAACUUUUUUAAAAUUAAUUUCUAGUUAUUUUUUUUUUUGUGAUUGAUGAGAUAGUUUUUUCUCCACCGAGUGUCCGAAAAUUUCUAAUGCACUUAGCGCAAUGACUUCCCUUUCCUUGAGUGCAUCUUCUUGCUUGCGAGCAGUCUAUUUCUUCCUUUGUUCCAUUGUUUUGUUUGGGAUACUUACAAUUCAUAUUUUCUUUGUUAUAGUUAGGGUUAAAUAUAUGUGGAUUGGAUAGGUUCAUUUUCAUACUUUGUAGUUGAACAAAGUGUAGAGUAAUUGUAGUUUGGAAUCUCAUUUUUAAUUUGUUUACAAUAGACAUGGCACGUGGAAGUUUUUUUAUGAUGUUUCUAUUUGAUUGAGUUUUUAUUUGAUUGAGUUGUUGAUCUGUAAUUAUCAUUUUUGAAUGAAUAGGAUCUUUAAAAAAAUAAAAUAAAUUAUUUCAUCAUUUUUGAAAAUUUAAAAUAUAUUAAAAAAAUAAAAAUUUUCAUAUAAAUGAAUUUGUUCAAAUUUAUUAAGUUCUUUAUGAUCAUUAUUAAAAGGUAUGUUUUCCUUUCAAUCAAUAUAUUGUGCUAAUAAUUACUUUCACUAUUUUAGGCAUUAGGAUUAACCACACUCUGAUAUUACAAAAGAUAUGAGAAUGACUAACACUUUGUAAAGAUAGAAAAUCUAGUUGAGUUGAUUUUUCAUGUUUGUAAAAUAUCAAACUGACUUUGUAAAAGGUUCAAGAUCUUCUCUCAAAUAUUGUAUAUGUUUUAUCAAUUUUAAAUAUAGUAUAUGACGGGUGACAUAAGAAGAAUUAGAAAUAUAGUAGAGUCAUAAAACAUAUUUAAAAAUGAUAGAACCGAUUUUGCAUAUUCAUAAUCCUCUCAUGUCUUGAAUAAUGUCUUGAAUAAUGUAGUUGGAGAAUAUUUGACAUAUUGAAUUGAACUACUCAUUUUUAAAAUUCAAUUUUUGAUAUCUUUUAAGUCAUCAUUCACAAUCAAACUUAAUAAUGAACACAAUACAUGAACUUAUUCUUCCUUUAAAAAAAAAGUUUCCACGAUAAUAUCUUUCUUUUGAUAUCAAAAGAAGGAAGUUAUCAUGUAACUGUCUUGUCUUGAAGGGAGAAUAUGUUCAUAUGCGUCAUUGUACUCAUACGUUAAGUUUGAUUCUGAAGGAUGAUUUAAAAGAGAUCAAACUUUGAAUUUAAAAAAUGAGCAGUUCAAUUGAAUAUGUCAAAUGUUAUCCAUUCAAAGCAUGUAUUUAACCAGAGAAAAUUUUUUAUAAAUGAAUUGUUUGUCUUGAUGUUGAAAUUAAGUGGAAUUCGACUUAAUUGUUAGAGGCAAACUUGAAAUACAAAGAUGCAUUUGUCUUUAGUUGAUAUGUAAGAUAAGAAAUUUGUUGUUGAAAUAACCAUUAGAGGAGGAUUAGCAAUAUGCAAGGUUUGUUUUGUCUUUUUUUAAAUAUGUGUUACGACUCUACAAUAUGAAUUUUUUAUUCUUCUUAUGUCAUCAAUAUGUAUAUAAAGGAGGUAUUUCAAAUUGGUAAAAACAUUCGAAAAUAUUUUAAGAAUACUGAUGUGAGUAUAAAAUUGAUGAAAGGUAAAUAUGUAAAAUAUUAAAAAAAUCCUAAUGGAAUUAAUAUCUUUUUAUUGAUUACUAUUGCGUUUGACUAAGGUAGAUUUUGUUAUAUAUUUGAAUAUAAUAUGGUCAGAAAAUUGAAAUCAAAAUUAUUGUCAUAUUUAAAAUAUUACCAUUAACAUGUUUGGUUGGAAUUCAAUAAUUUAAGAUAAAAGUUAAAAUUAUUUUUGUUAAAAAAUAAAAAAUAAAAGGAAAAUUAAAAUAAUGCUGUGGGAAAUUUCAGAUUGGUCUGAAUUUUUAUUAUCAUACUAUAAAAAAUAUAAAAAAAUAUUCUAGUUGAUAUACAUUGCGUUUCCUGUCUUAAAUAAAACUAUGAAGAUUGAUAUGAAUGUAUGUAGUAGGUGUGUUUGCCUCUAACAUGUUCUUUCCGUUUGAUCUUAAAAGUUUGUCUACUUAAUUAUUAUGCUUAUGCUACACAAGACCACAUUUUGUUGGCUGCUCCAAAGUCAGAACUACAUACUAUGAUGACAUUGACGAAGUAAGUUACAUUAUUGGUAAGUAUCAGAUGAUGAUUUUGUUGUCAGGAUAUUAUUGAUGAUGAUCUUGAUUUCAACCCUCAGCUCAUCAAAAUGGCCAUUCAAUAUUUUAUUUGAUUUUAAUUGGUUAAUAUUUUUAAUAGAAUACGAGAUUGUUUUCUGUGAUAUUAUAUUCUGUCUCUUUUUUAUGGCAAAACAUCGCACUUCUGUUAGUCGUAAUGAUUCUGUAACAUGCACUUCUCUUCCAGUUAAAUAAUUUUAUUUACGGCUUGAAUGUUAUUUUCCUCAAACUAUUAUAAAGAAAUUAUAUUUAUUUUAUAUUUUAUAAUAAUAUCGUAAAAUAUUAUUUUCAACAAAUGUUAUGGUUAUAUUAUACUUUAUUAUGAAACUAUGUUUCUUAUAUAGAAAUGUUUUAUAUGAUUUUCGAAAAAUAGAUAGGAUCCAAGAAAUUGUUACCCAAACUCGAACGAAAAACGUAUUAAUCCGGAUUUGACGUAAACAAUUGGGUUUUAAAUCGGUUAAACUGAAACAUUAUCGAAUUUAUUUGCCUUACACAACUAUGAAACUAAGGAUGUGAAAUCUUCAAGUGUUGGGUUGUGUACAUUUAUUCAAAUUAAAUUCAUAUAUAUGCUACAAAACCCUUGUAUUUGAAUGUGUUUGGUUGUUUGAAUUAAAGAGAGUAAUUAAAUUAUUUACUUUUUUUUUAUUUUUUUUCUAUGUGAUGUAAAAUAGG